UACGGGGGGGGCAAGCGUUGUUCGGAAUUACUGGGCGUAAAGGGCGCGUAGGCGGCCUUCUAAGUCAGACGUGAAAUCCCUCGGCUCAACCGAGGAACUGCGUCUGAUACUGGAAGGCUUGAAUCCGGGAGAGGGAUGUGGAAUUCCAGGUGUAGCGGUGAAAUGCGUAGAUAUCAGGAGGAACACCGAUGGCGAAGGCGGGUUGCUGGGCUGACACUGACGCUGAACUGCGAAAGCUAGGGGAGCGAACGGG
RNAcentral lists this ribosomal RNA (253 nucleotides) under uncultured bacterium. RNAcentral's name for it is "partial 16S ribosomal RNA". It matches the Rfam family "Bacterial small subunit ribosomal RNA", at positions 524 to 776 of the family's 1533-position model. The record is from RNAcentral.